RNAcentral lists this ribosomal RNA (567 nucleotides) under uncultured bacterium. Its description in RNAcentral is "partial 16S ribosomal RNA". It matches the Rfam family "Bacterial small subunit ribosomal RNA", at positions 355 to 1375 of the family's 1533-position model. The record is from RNAcentral.
UGGGGAAUAUUGCACAAUGGGCGAAAGCCUGAUGCAGCAACGCCGCGUGAGGGACGACGGCCUUCGGGUUGUAAACCUCUUUUAGCAAGGAAGAAGCGAAAGUGACGGUACUUGCAGAAAAAGCGCCGGCUAACUACGUGCCAGCAGCCGCGGUAAUACGUAGGGCGCAAGCGUUAUCCGGAAUUAUUGGGCGUAAAGAGCUCGUAGGCGGUUUGUCGCGUCUGCUGUGAAAACCCGAGGCUCAACCUCGGGCCUGCAGUGGGUACGGGCAGAUUAGAGUGCGGUAGGGGAGAUUGGAACUCCUGGUGUAGCGGUGGAAUGCGCAGAUAUCAGGAAGAACACCGAUGGCGAAGGCAGAUCUCUGGGCCGUAACUGACGCUGAGGAGCGAAAGGGUGGGGAGCAAACAGGCUUAGAUACCCUGGUAGUCCACCCCGUAAACGUUGGGAACUAGUUGUGGGUCCAUUCCACGGAUUCCGUGACGCAGCUAACGCAUUAAGUUCCCCGCCUGGGGAGUACGGCCGCAAGGCUAAAACUUAAAGGAAUUGACGGGGUCAUAGCUGUUUCCU